UCCGUAGGUGGAUAAUUAAGUCAGAGGUGAAAUCCUGCAGCUCAACUGUAGAAUUGCCCUUGAUACUGGUUGUCUUGAGUCAUUAUGAAGUAGUUAGAAUAUGUAGUGUAGCGGUGAAAUGCAUAGAUAUUACAUAGAAUACCAAUUGCGAAGGCAGAUUACUAAUAAUGUACUGACACUGAUGGACGAAAGCGUGGGGAGCGAACAGGAUUAGAUACCCUGGUAGUCC
RNAcentral lists this ribosomal RNA (229 nucleotides) under uncultured bacterium. RNAcentral describes it as "partial 16S ribosomal RNA". It matches the Rfam family "Bacterial small subunit ribosomal RNA", at positions 568 to 796 of the family's 1533-position model. The record is from RNAcentral.